UAUGUGAUCGUCUCUCGCAUAUCAAUAAGCGGAGGAAAAGAAACUAACAAGGAUUCCCCUAGUAACGGCGAGUGAAGCGGGAAGAGCUCAAAUUUGAAAUCUUAAAGGGUUUCCCUUUACGAAUUGUAGUUUAAAGAAGUGUUUUCUGUUGAGGUUUUGGUAAAAGUUCUUUGGAAUAGGACAUCAUAGAGGGUGAGAAUCCCGUAUUUGACCUUUACUUUCAACUUUGUGAUACACUUUCAAAGAGUCGGAUUGUUUGGGAAUGCAGUCCAAAAUGGGUGGUAAAUUUCAUCUAAAGCUAAAUAUUGGCGAGAGACCGAUAGCGAACAAGUACCGUGAGGGAAAGAUGAAAAGAACUUUGAAAAGAGAGUUAAACAGUACGUGAAAUUGUCAAAAGGGAAGCGUUUGACACCAGUGUUGUUUUUCUGAAAAUCAAUUAUAACUGUUUAUGCUAAGUUGUUUAGACUUUAUCAGCUAACUGUUUAGUUUUGAGCUUUUCUUUAAUGCACUUUUCAGUUAACAAGUCAACAUCAAUUUCUUUUGCUGUAAAAAAGCUUGAGGAAGGUGGCUUGAGAUUCGUCUUAAGUGUUUAUAGCCUCUUGCCUAUGCAGUCGGAGAGAUUGAGGUCUGCAGCGUAGAUCCUUCGGGGCUAAAUGCAUUUGUGCUAAGUUAUAGCAUUUUAUAGACAACUUGUUGACUAUGAUUUGUCUUGUAGCUUACUCGCUUAUGUUAUUUUACCUACGCUUAGGAUGUUGACUGAUAUGUAGUCGUA
Molecule: ribosomal RNA, 772 nt
Filed under: uncultured Neocallimastigales
Lineage: Eukaryota; Fungi; Neocallimastigomycota; Neocallimastigomycetes; Neocallimastigales
Description: partial large subunit ribosomal RNA
Rfam family: Eukaryotic large subunit ribosomal RNA
Source: RNAcentral